ACUCCUACGGGAGGCAGCAGUGGGGAAUAUUGCACAAUGGGCGCAAGCCUGAUGCAGCCAUGCCGCGUGUAUGAAGAAGGCCUUCGGGUUGUAAAGUACUUUCAGCAGUGAGGAAGGUGGGUAUGUUAAUAGCAUACUCAUUUGACGUUAGCUGCAGAAGAAGCACCGGCUAACUCCGUGCCAGCAGCCGCGGUAAUACGGAGGGUGCGAGCGUUAAUCGGAAUUACUGGGCGUAAAGCGCAUGCAGGUGGUUUGUUAAGUCAGAUGUGAAAGCCCGGGGCUCAACCUCGGAAUUGCAUUUGAAACUGGCAAACUAGAGUACUGUAGAGGGGGGUAGAAUUUCAGGUGUAGCGGUGAAAUGCGUAGAGAUCUGAAGGAAUACCGGUGGCGAAGGCGGCCCCCUGGACAGAUACUGACACUCAGAUGCGAAAGGCUGGGGGAGCAAACAGGAUUAGAUACCCUGAUAGGCUCUGC
This 474-nucleotide ribosomal RNA is filed under the name uncultured bacterium. Its description in RNAcentral is "bacterial SSU rRNA". It matches the Rfam family "Bacterial small subunit ribosomal RNA", at positions 335 to 800 of the family's 1533-position model. The record is from RNAcentral.